This 253-nucleotide ribosomal RNA is filed under the name uncultured bacterium. RNAcentral's name for it is "partial 16S ribosomal RNA". It matches the Rfam family "Bacterial small subunit ribosomal RNA", at positions 524 to 776 of the family's 1533-position model. The record is from RNAcentral.
UACGUAGGGGGCAAGCGUUGUCCGGAAUCAUUGGGCGUAAAGAGCGCGUAGGCGGCCCUGUAAGUCCGCUGUGAAAGUCAAGGGCUCAACCCUUGAAUGCCGGUGGAUACUGCAGGGCUAGAGUCCGGAAGAGGCGAGUGGAAUUCCUGGUGUAGCGGUGAAAUGCGCAGAUAUCAGGAGGAACACCUAUGGCGAAGGCAGCUCGCUGGGACGUUACUGACGCUGAGACGCGAAAGCGUGGGGAGCAAACAGG